GGCCUACCAUGGUGGUAACGGGUAGCGGGGUGUUAGGGCACGACACCGGAGAGGGAGCCUGAGAAACGGCUACCACAUCCAAGGAAGGCAGCAGGCGCGCAAAUUACCCAAUCCCGACACGGGGAGGUAGUGACAAUAAAUAACAAUACAGGGUUCUUUAGGAUCUUGUAAUUGGAAUGAGUACAAUUUAAAUCUCUUAACGAGGAACAAUUGGAGGGCAAGUCUGGUGCCAGCAGCCGCGGUAAUUCCAGCUCCAAUAGCGUAUAUUAAAGUUGUUGCAGUUAAAAAGCUCGUAGUUGAAUUUCGGGAUCGAUGGGUCGGUCAUGCCCUCGGUAUGUACUGAUCCCAUUGGUUCUCACCUUCUAAGGAACCAUGAUGUCAUUCGGUUGAUGUUGUGGGGAAUUAGGACUGUUACCUUGAAAAAAUUAGAGUGUUUAAAGCAGGCCAACGCUUGAAUACAUUAGCAUGGAAUAAUGAAAUAGGACGUUCGAUCUUAUUUUGUUGGUUUCUAGGAUUGACGUAAUGAUUAAUAGGGAUAGUUGGGGGCAUUAGUAUUCAAUUGUCAGAGGUGAAAUUCUUGGAUUUAUUGAAGACUAACUACUGCGAAAGCAUUUGCCAAGGAUGUUUUCAUUAAUCAAGAACGAAAGUUAGGGGAUCGAAGACGAUCAGAUACCGUCGUAGUCUUAACCAUAAACUAUGCCGACUAGGAAUCAGACGAUGUUAAUUUUUUAAUGACUCGUUUGGCACCUUACG
Molecule: ribosomal RNA, 753 nt
Filed under: uncultured Glomeromycotina
Lineage: Eukaryota; Fungi; Glomeromycota
Description: SSU rRNA
Rfam family: Eukaryotic small subunit ribosomal RNA
Source: RNAcentral